AGAGUUCGAUCAUGGCUCAGGAUGAACGCUGGCGGCGUGCCUAACACAUUCAAGUCGAACGGUGAAGGGACUUCGGUCCCGGAUCAGUGGCGGACGGGUGAGUAACGCGUGAGCAACCUGCCUUUGCUUGGGGGAUAACGUUUGGAAACGAACGCUAAUACCGCAUAAAACAGCAUUCCGGCAUCGGGAAGCUGUCAAAGAUUUAUUGAGCAGAGAUGGGCUCGCGUCCGAUUAGAUAGUUGGUGAGGUAACGGCUCACCAAGUCGACGAUCGGUAGCCGGACUGAGAGGUUGAACGGCCACAUUGGAACUGAGAUACGGUCCAG
This 325-nucleotide ribosomal RNA is filed under the name uncultured bacterium. Its description in RNAcentral is "bacterial SSU rRNA". It matches the Rfam family "Bacterial small subunit ribosomal RNA", at positions 8 to 334 of the family's 1533-position model. The record is from RNAcentral.